GAGGAGCACGAAGGUUGGCUAAUCCUGGUCGGACAUCAGGAGGUUAGUGCAAUGGCAUAAGCCAGCUUGACUGCGAGCGUGACGGCGCGAGCAGGUGCGAAAGCAGGUCAUAGUGAUCCGGUGGUUCUGAAUGGAAGGGCCAUCGCUCAACGGAUAAAAGGUACUCCGGGGAUAACAGGCUGAUACCGCCCAAGAGUUCAUAUCGACGGCGGUGUUUGGCACCUCGAUGUCGGCUCAUCACAUCCUGGGGCUGAAGUAGGUCCCAAGGGUAUGGCUGUUCGCCAUUUAAAGUGGUACGCGAGCUGGGUUUAGAACGUCGUGAGACAGUUCGGUCCCUAUCUGCCGUGGGCGCUGGAGAACUGAGGGGGGCUGCUCCUAGUACGAGAGGACCGGAGUGGACGCAUCACUGGUGUUCGGGUUGUCAUGCCAAUGGCACUGCCCGGUAGCUAAAUGCGGAAGAGAUAAGUGCUGAAAGCAUCUAAGCACGAAACUUGCCCCG
RNAcentral lists this ribosomal RNA (499 nucleotides) under Escherichia coli. RNAcentral's name for it is "partial 23S ribosomal RNA". It matches the Rfam family "Bacterial large subunit ribosomal RNA", at positions 2303 to 2801 of the family's 2925-position model. Lineage: Bacteria; Pseudomonadati; Pseudomonadota; Gammaproteobacteria; Enterobacterales; Enterobacteriaceae. The record is from RNAcentral.